Molecule: ribosomal RNA, 647 nt
Filed under: uncultured bacterium
Lineage: Bacteria
Description: bacterial SSU rRNA
Rfam family: Bacterial small subunit ribosomal RNA
Source: RNAcentral
UAGUCCACACCGUAAACGAUGAAUGCUAGUUGUUAGAGGGUUUCCGCCCUUUAGUGACGCAGGUAACGCAUUAAGCAUUCUGCCUGGGGAGUACGACCGCAAGGUUGAAACUCAAAGGAAUUGACGGGGGCCCGCACAAGCGGUGGAGCAUGUGGUUUAAUUUGAAGCAACGCGAAGAACCUUACCAGGUCUUGACAUCUUUCGCUAUCUUAAGAGAUUAAGAGUUCCCUUCGGGGACGGAAUGACAGGUGGUGCAUGGUUGUCGUCAGCUCGUGUCGUGAGAUGUUGGGUUAAGUCCCGCAACGAGUGCAACCAUUAUCAUUAGUGGCCAGCAUUAAGUUGGGCACUCUAAUGAGAUUGCCGGUGAUAAACUGGAGGAAGGUGGGGAUGACGUUAAAUCAUCAUGCCCGUUAUGACAUGGGCUACACACGUGUUACAAUGGUUGGUACAACGAGUCGCAAACUCGCGAGGGUAAGAUAAUAUCUUAAAGCCAUUUUCAGUUGGGAGUGUAGUCUUCAACUAGACUACAUGAAGUCGGAAUAGGUAGUAAUAGCGGAUCAGCAUGCGGCGGUGAAUAUGUUCCCGGGCUUUGUACACACCGCCCGUCACACCAUGAGAGUUUGUAACACCCAAAGUCGGUGGGGUAA